This 332-nucleotide unclassified non-coding RNA is filed under the name uncultured fungus. RNAcentral describes it as "partial contains 5.8S ribosomal RNA, internal transcribed spacer 2, and large subunit ribosomal RNA". The record is from RNAcentral. Lineage: Eukaryota; Fungi.
AACGCAAAUUGCGCCUGAGGCCUCGGCCAAGGGCAUGUCUGCCUCAGCGUCGGCUUUACCCCUCGCCCCCCUUCCCUGGGUGGGCGGACCUGGCCUUCCCGGCUCCUCUGGCCUUUUGUGUCAGUGCCCGGGUUGGCUGAAGCUUAGAGGCUUGAGCAUAGACCCCGUUUGUAGGGCAAUGGCUUGGUAGGUAGGCACCCCCUACACACGCCUGCCGUUGUCCGAGGGGACUUUGCUGGUGGCCCCGCAAGAACCGGGUGUAGUGCUUCGGCAUUCCCCGGCCUCUUCACUCUUUCGACCUGAGCUCAGGCAAGAUUACCCGCUGAACUUAA